Molecule: ribosomal RNA, 253 nt
Filed under: uncultured bacterium
Lineage: Bacteria
Description: partial 16S ribosomal RNA
Rfam family: Bacterial small subunit ribosomal RNA
Source: RNAcentral
UACGUAGGGGGCAAGCGUUGUCCGGAUUUACUGGGCGUAAAGAACGUGUAGGCGGCCACGCAGGUCCGUUGUGAAAACUGGAGGCUCAACCUCCAGCUGUCGACGGAAACCGUGUGGCUAGAGUCCGGAAGAGGAGAGUGGAAUUCCUGGUGUAGCGGUGAAAUGCGCAGAUAUCAGGAAGAACACCAAUGGCGAAGGCAGCUCUCUGGGACGGUACUGACGCUGAGACGCGAAAGCGUGGGGAGCAAACAGG